GGAGAGGUACUGAAGUGGUCAUAACAGGCCGCUCUCGAAAAGCGGUUGGGACGUAAGUCUCACGUGGGUUCGAAUCCCACCCUCUCCG
RNAcentral lists this transfer RNA (88 nucleotides) under Candidatus Omnitrophota bacterium. Its description in RNAcentral is "Candidatus Omnitrophica bacterium tRNA-Ser". It matches the Rfam family "tRNA". Rfam says of the family: Transfer RNA (tRNA) molecules are approximately 80 nucleotides in length. Their secondary structure includes four short double-helical elements and three loops (D, anti-codon, and T loops). The record is from RNAcentral. Lineage: Bacteria; Pseudomonadati; Candidatus Omnitrophota.